RNAcentral lists this ribosomal RNA (322 nucleotides) under uncultured eukaryote. RNAcentral's name for it is "partial 18S ribosomal RNA". It matches the Rfam family "Eukaryotic small subunit ribosomal RNA", at positions 1470 to 1796 of the family's 1831-position model. The record is from RNAcentral.
CCCUUAGAUGUUCUGGGCCGCACGCGUGCUACACUGAGUAAUUCAAUGAGUAAGGGAACGCUAGAGCAUUACCUAAUCUUGAAAUUUGCUCGUGAUGGGGAUCGACGGUUGCAAUUUUCCGUCGUGAACGAGGAAUACCUUGUAGGCGCAUGUCAUCAUCAUGCGCCGAAUACGUCCCUGCCCUUUGUACACACCGCCCGUCGCUCCUACCGAUUGAGUGAUCCGGUGAGGCUCUGGGACCUGGACGGAAAGAGCGUUUCGCUUGUUCUGUUUGGGAAACUUGGUCGAACCUUAUCAUUUAGAGGAAGGAGAAGUCGUAACA